Molecule: ribosomal RNA, 385 nt
Filed under: Elachista antarctica
Lineage: Eukaryota; Phaeophyceae; Ectocarpales; Chordariaceae
Description: partial 18S ribosomal RNA
Rfam family: Eukaryotic small subunit ribosomal RNA
Source: RNAcentral
UGGGGGCAAUAACAGGUCUGUGAUGCCCUUAGAUGUCCUGGGCCGCACGCGCGCUACACUGAUGCAUGCAACGAGUUUUUUUUCCUGGGUCGAGAGGCCCGGGUAAUCUGUUGAACGUGCAUCGUGAUAGGGAUAGAUCAUUGCAAUUAUUGAUCUUGAACGAGGAAUUCCUAGUAAACGCGAGUCAUCAGCUCGCAUUGAUUACGUCCCUGCCCUUUGUACACACCGCCCGUCGCACCUACCGAUUGAAUCAUUCGGUGAGGAUUCCGGAUUCCGUAGCUUACGCUUCACGGCGUUUUUUACGAAAAAAGUUAUCCAAACCUCAUGAUUUAGAGGAAGGUGAAGUCGUAACAAGGUUUCCGUAGGUGAACCUGCGGAAGGAUCA